UAGGGAAUCUUCCGCAAUGGGCGAAAGCCUGACGGAGCAACGCCGCGUGAGUGAUGAAGGUCUUCGGAUCGUAAAACUCUGUUAUUAGGGAAGAACAAAUGUGUAAGUAACUAUGCACGUCUUGACGGUACCUAAUCAGAAAGCCACGGCUAACUACGUGCCAGCAGCCGCGGUAAUACGUAGGUGGCAAGCGUUAUCCGGAAUUAUUGGGCGUAAAGCGCGCGUAGGCGGUUUUUUAAGUCUGAUGUGAAAGCCAACGGCUCAACCGUGGAGGGUCAUUGGAAACUGGAAAACUUGAGUGCAGAAGAGGAAAGUGGAAUUCCAUGUGUAGCGGUGAAAUGCGCAGAGAUAUGGAGGAACACCAGUGGAGAAGGCGACUUUCUGGUCUGUAACUGACGCUGAUGUGCGAAAGCGUGGGGAUCAAACAGG
Molecule: ribosomal RNA, 429 nt
Filed under: Actinomycetes bacterium
Lineage: Bacteria; Bacillati; Actinomycetota; Actinomycetes
Description: Actinobacteria bacterium partial 16S ribosomal RNA
Rfam family: Bacterial small subunit ribosomal RNA
Source: RNAcentral